RNAcentral lists this ribosomal RNA (1020 nucleotides) under Plenodomus biglobosus/Leptosphaeria biglobosa 'canadensis' group. RNAcentral's name for it is "SSU rRNA". It matches the Rfam family "Eukaryotic small subunit ribosomal RNA", at positions 75 to 1105 of the family's 1831-position model. Lineage: Eukaryota; Fungi; Ascomycota; Dothideomycetes; Pleosporales; Leptosphaeriaceae. The record is from RNAcentral.
UAUACCGUGUAACUGCGAAUGGCUCAUUAAAUCAGUUAUCGUUUAUUUGAUAGUACCUUACUACUUGGAUAACCGUGGUAAUUCUAGAGCUAAUACAUGCUAAAAACCCCAACUUCGGAAGGGGUGUAUUUAUUAGAUAAAAAACCAACGCCCUUCGGGGCUUCUUGGUGAUUCAUGAUAACUUUACGGAUCGCAUGGCCUUGCGCCGGCGACGGUUCAUUCAAAUUUCUGCCCUAUCAACUUUCGAUGGUAAGGUAUUGGCUUACCAUGGUUUCAACGGGUAACGGGGAAUUAGGGUUCGAUUCCGGAGAGGGAGCCUGAGAAACGGCUACCACAUCCAAGGAAGGCAGCAGGCGCGCAAAUUACCCAAUCCCGACACGGGGAGGUAGUGACAAUAAAUACUGAUACAGGGCUCUUUUGGGUCUUGUAAUUGGAAUGAGUACAAUUUAAACCUCUUAACGAGGAACAAUUGGAGGGCAAGUCUGGUGCCAGCAGCCGCGGUAAUUCCAGCUCCAAUAGCGUAUAUUAAAGUUGUUGCAGUUAAAAAGCUCGUAGUUGAAACUUGGGUCUGGCUGGCAGGUCCGCCUCACCGCGUGUACUUGUCCGGCCGGGCCUUCCUUCUGGAGAACCUCAUGCCCUUCACUGGGCGUGUUGGGGACCAGGACUUUUACUUUGAAAAAAUUAGAGUGUUCAAAGCAGGCCUUUGCUCGAAUACGUUAGCAUGGAAUAAUAGAAUAGGACGUGCGGUCCUAUUUUGUUGGUUUCUAGGACCGCCGUAAUGAUUAAUAGGGACAGUCGGGGGCAUCAGUAUUCAAUUGUCAGAGGUGAAAUUCUUGGAUUUAUUGAAGACUAACUACUGCGAAAGCAUUUGCCAAGGAUGUUUUCAUUAAUCAGUGAACGAAAGUUAGGGGAUCGAAGACGAUCAGAUACCGUCGUAGUCUUAACCGUAAACUAUGCCGACUAGGGAUCGGGCGAUGUUCUUUUUCUGACUCGCUCGGCACCUUACGAGAAAUCAAAGUU